UUAAAGACUCGUAACAGAGCACUGGUUUUUACAAUUUUGUAUUGUAUUGUUAGAUGCACCUAAAAUUUACGGAUCUAAAUAAUAUACCGAGACCUUGUCCAUAAAUAUUUUUUAUGUACAAGUUACAUAGAAUAUAUAUGGGGUAGCGGAACAUUGGGCAUUUUUAGAUUUUUUCUUUUUAAGACUUAAGAUUAGGUUACCCAAGUGAUAAUGCUGACAUGAGUAACGAUAAAAGGUUUAUACCCUCGCCUAAAGGUUAUGGAAUUUACUUAAAGUAACGGCCUUUAAGUUUAAAUUUGCUAUAGUUUAAACAAACAACCCUUGAUACCUAACUUUAACAGACGAUACAAGGGCAAAAUAGUAAACCCCUAAUGGGAUAAACGAUGAGAAAAAAGUAAGUUUUACAGAAAUAAAAAGCUUGAGGGUUGCAGGUAGGUUUUUUAUAUAUAACGGAUUUUUUUUUUUUUAUUUUUUUUAUCCCAGAGCAACCAAUAUACCAGAGUUGUGCAAGGGAUAAAAAGGUAAAUAAAAUAAUUAAUAGAAACUAUAAAAAUUAUAGAUUUAAUAGUUAUUUUGUGCUAAAGUGACAAAUGCUCUGGAAAAAUGUAAAACUACUGACGUGUUAGAGAGUAGGCGAGGUUCAAUCCCUUGUCCAUAAUAAG
Molecule: ribosomal RNA, 662 nt
Filed under: Rhizocarpon geographicum
Lineage: Eukaryota; Fungi; Ascomycota; Lecanoromycetes; Rhizocarpales; Rhizocarpaceae
Description: partial large subunit ribosomal RNA
Source: RNAcentral